AGCAGCCGCGGUAAUUCCAGCUCCAAUAGCGUAUAUUAAAGUUGUUGCAGUUAAAAAGCUCGUAGUUGAAUUUCGGGAUUGACGUGACGGUCGUGCCUUAAGGGGUAUGAACUGUUACAGUCAAUUUCUCACCUUCUGGAGAAAUAUGAUGUCCUUAAUUGGGUGUCAUAUGGAACCAGGACUUUUACCUUGAAAAAUUAGAGUGUUUAAAGCAAGCUUAUUGCUCGAAUACAUUAGCAUGGAAUAAUAAAAUAGGACGGCAUGAUUCUAUUUUGUUGGUUUCUAGGAUCACCGUAAUGAUUAAUAGGGAUAGUUGGGGGCAUUAGUAUUCAAUUGUCAGAGGUGAAAUUCUUGGAUUUAUUGAAGACUAACUACUGCGAAAGCAUUUGCCAAGGAUGUUUUCAUUAAUCAAGAACGAAAGUUAGGGGAUCGAAGACGAUCAGAUACCGUCGUAGUCUUAACCAUAAACUAUGCCGACUAGGAAUCAG
This 488-nucleotide ribosomal RNA is filed under the name uncultured Entrophospora. RNAcentral's name for it is "SSU rRNA". It matches the Rfam family "Eukaryotic small subunit ribosomal RNA", at positions 569 to 1056 of the family's 1831-position model. The record is from RNAcentral. Lineage: Eukaryota; Fungi; Glomeromycota; Glomeromycetes; Entrophosporales; Entrophosporaceae.